RNAcentral lists this long non-coding RNA (201 nucleotides) under Carica papaya (papaya). RNAcentral describes it as "long non-coding RNA (CPAP_LNC015970)". Lineage: Eukaryota; Viridiplantae; Streptophyta; Magnoliopsida; Brassicales; Caricaceae. The record is from RNAcentral.
UUUACGAGCAUCUUACAUAGUAGAACAAUGAAAAACGAGGUGUGGCAGGUGGUCUGUUCAUCUACGCGUGAGUCGAGCCACCUAGGCAUUUUACUUGAUAUUAGAAUUAGAAGCAGAGGUGCGGGGUGCGCGUAUAACGAAAAAAAUGACUGGAGGGGGGAGGGAAGGAGAAGGGGUAGAUCUACUUGCAACGCGAAAUGA